UACGGAGGGUGCAAGCGUUAUCCGGAUUCACUGGGUUUAAAGGGUGCGUAGGUGGGCAGGUAAGUCAGUGGUGAAAUCUCCGGGCUUAACUCGGAAACUGCCAUUGAUACUAUCUUUCUUGAAUACCGUGGAGGUCAGCGGAAUAUGUCAUGUAGCGGUGAAAUGCUUAGAUAUGACAUAGAACACCAAUUGCGAAGGCAGCUCGCUACACAUAUAUUGACUCUGAGGCACGAAAGCGUGGGGAUCAAACAGG
Molecule: ribosomal RNA, 253 nt
Filed under: uncultured bacterium
Lineage: Bacteria
Description: partial 16S ribosomal RNA
Rfam family: Bacterial small subunit ribosomal RNA
Source: RNAcentral